Molecule: long non-coding RNA, 280 nt
Organism: Vespula pensylvanica (western yellowjacket)
Lineage: Eukaryota; Metazoa; Arthropoda; Insecta; Hymenoptera; Vespidae
Exons: 3
Source: RefSeq, a predicted model, not a curated record
ACCAUCUGUAACAUUUUAAGCAACACGCUCUCGUAUAUAGUUUUCCAUGCGGUGUUACCACACACUUUGCGAGAAGUCAAUAUUACUUAUAAACACGUCAAGAGGAGUGGACCGCAUAAUUCAAGGAACCAUUAAAGGGGAAUAUCAAUGGCUAUCACGAGCAGUUAUUCCUGGCAAUUUGCUAGCUCUGAUGUUUACUCGUCGGAGAAGAAAAGAAGACUGAUACGGCAACAGUCCAAAUCAAUCAUUUUACGACUUUACAGAUAGCGACGUAGAAAAU